UGCAAGUCGAACGGUAACAGGGAAAAGCUUGCUUUUCCGCUGACGAGUGGCGCACGGGUGCGUAACGCGUAUACAAUCUGCCUUUAAGCGGGGAAUAGCCCAUGGAAACGUGGAUUAAUACCCCAUAGUAUGUAGACUUCACCUGGAGACUACAUUAAACAUUUAUGGCUUAAAGAUGAGUAUGCGUCCUAUUAGUUAGUUGGUAAGGUAACGGCUUACCAAGACCGCGAUAGGUAGGGGUCCUGAGAGGGAGAUCCCCCACACUGGUACUGAGACACGGACCAGACUCCUACGGGAGGCAGCAGUGAGGAAUAUUGGACAAUGGAGGCAACUCUGAUCCAGCCAUGCCGCGUGCAGGAAGACGGCCCUAUGGGUUGUAAACUGCUUUUAUACGGGAAGAACCACAUCUACGUGUAGAUGCUUGACGGUACCGUAUGAAUAAGGACCGGCUAACUCCGUGCCAGCAGCCGCGGUAAUACGGAGGGUCCAAGCGUUAUCCGGAAUCAUUGGGUUUAAAGGGUCCGUAGGCGGAAUAAUAAGUCAGUGGUGAAAGUCUGCAGCUUAACUGUAGAAUUGCCAUUGAUACUGUUGUUCUUGAAUUAGUAUGAAGUGGUUGGAAUGAGUAGUGUAGCGGUGAAAUGCAUAGAUAUUACUCAGAACACCUAUUGCGAAGGCAGAUCACUAAUACUAUAUUGACGCUGAGGGACGAAAGCGUAGGUAGCGAACAGGAUUAGAUACCCUGGUAGUCUACGCCGUAAACGAUGGUUACUAGCUGUCCGGCCUAAUUGAGGGCUGGGUGGUUAAGCGAAAGUGAUAA
Molecule: ribosomal RNA, 817 nt
Filed under: Flavobacteriaceae bacterium ACEMC 20-7
Lineage: Bacteria; Pseudomonadati; Bacteroidota; Flavobacteriia; Flavobacteriales; Flavobacteriaceae
Description: bacterial SSU rRNA
Rfam family: Bacterial small subunit ribosomal RNA
Source: RNAcentral